AUGCAUGCUGGGCUAUAAUUUAUGAAACGGAGCACAGGAAACAACCAAUCGCUUAGCUUCUCCUAACAAGUCCAACUGGCUAGGAAAAGCUGUAAGUGCUGCACAGAACAAUGAAGAGGAUCUAUCCCACAUAUUAAUCUGCUUAUCUAGGAUUGCCUUCUGUGUAGAGAGAAGGAAGCAUGUAAAAAGAGAGGGAAAAAAAAAAAGAAAAAUCACCGUUCCAUUGUUAACAGAAUAAAUUCCAGUCAACAUGAAAAUCCUCCAUUGCAGUCAGAUGGC
This is a non-coding RNA of Taeniopygia guttata (zebra finch), 279 nucleotides long. NCBI's taxonomy places the organism in Eukaryota, Metazoa, Chordata, Aves, Passeriformes, Estrildidae. The record is from Rfam.